Molecule: transfer RNA, 17 nt
Filed under: Scincella lateralis (ground skink)
Lineage: Eukaryota; Metazoa; Chordata; Lepidosauria; Squamata; Scincidae
Description: partial tRNA-Thr
Source: RNAcentral
UAAAUAAAUAGCCUUAG